AAGACAUUAGUAAAAUACAAAUUACACCACCUUGUCAAGGUGGAAUUGCAGGUUAAAUCCCUGCAUGUCUUA
This 72-nucleotide transfer RNA is filed under the name Squalidus longifilis. Its description in RNAcentral is "tRNA-Asp". It matches the Rfam family "tRNA". From Rfam's summary of the family: Transfer RNA (tRNA) molecules are approximately 80 nucleotides in length. Their secondary structure includes four short double-helical elements and three loops (D, anti-codon, and T loops). Lineage: Eukaryota; Metazoa; Chordata; Actinopteri; Cypriniformes; Gobionidae. The record is from RNAcentral.